Hippocampus zosterae (dwarf seahorse) is the source of this 1155-nucleotide long non-coding RNA. RefSeq lists it as uncharacterized. The record is from RefSeq and is a predicted model, not a curated record. The transcript is spliced from 3 exons. NCBI's taxonomy places the organism in Eukaryota, Metazoa, Chordata, Actinopteri, Syngnathiformes, Syngnathidae.
AGAGAAGCCCGGAUGACUAGAUGAAGACGAGAUAUAAAAAGCCAUCAUCUCCAUUUGUGCCGAUGGGCUUCCGUUUACCAGUCAUCGGGAUGUGUUUGUGUGUGUGUGUUGCUGAGAAGCACGCACAAUACAACCGCUGUGGCGUCAGCUGGAUUCUGUUGUUACGCUCACGCAGCCAGACUCUCCGCCGGCGACAACGUCGCGACUUCGAAACGAGCUUAAACGGCGAACCUACACCCUCCAGGGUGUUGAAUCCGGAAUGGCGGCCGCGUGAACAAAUAUCCUCCUUGCCGCCACACAAUGAACGGCUUAAGACAACGAUGUGUACCUCAGGUAGAGCGAAGACAAAAGCGGACUUUUCAAGUGUUCACCCCCCCCCCCCUCCCCUGAGAAUUCUGCGUGACCAGAUGGGACAUCCGGUGACUCGCCGAUCAUGCAAAUCUGAUAAGGCAAGGUCAUGUAAAGUUCACACAUCGGACACGUUCCUAAGUCCGCCUCUCCAAAACAAGAACUGUAGCGAGAUCUCCUUUUAUAAAAGCAGAUAAAACAGAACGGGCAUCUUCAGUCGCGCCUCUAAAGCGCAACAUCCUAAAAAGUCUCCCACUUUGGGAAAAUAUGACGGCUUUGAGAGUAAUUCUCAUUGUGCAGCCGCAUUUAAUAUUGCGGGCCCAUUUCUGGGCGCAUGUGUAUAAAUACGUUGAGGACAUAAAGCAGCGGGGGGGGCUCCUCUUCAGCAAUAAUGAGUAGAUCGAAAGCCGGCUCCGAGCACAAUGUUCCUCUGACUUGACUGUCUGGAAUACAAGCAUAUCUGGAGCACCCGAGGACACACACACACAGACACACACACACACAUGCGCAAUAGCUCUCUAUAGCGGCGUCAAAUCACAACAUCACUGUUGAGGAAUGGGAGCUGUCAAUUUGCUCUUGGUCCUUCCUUGGUUACAGAUUCUUUUAUCUCUCUAUAAGGUGGAAGAAGACCCAACACCACGUAGUCUUUUCUUAAGUUUAUCACAACGCAACACGAAUCGAUUCGGGCUCCUGUGAGUCUCAGAUUUCAUCAGGAAGCCCCGAGCAACUACAGUCACACGUACAUAUAGGCAUAGUAUGUUAAUUAUGUUAAUUAGGGGCGGGCAGUCCUUCCCCUUAUGUAAAAAC